RNAcentral lists this ribosomal RNA (253 nucleotides) under uncultured bacterium. Its description in RNAcentral is "partial 16S ribosomal RNA". It matches the Rfam family "Bacterial small subunit ribosomal RNA", at positions 524 to 776 of the family's 1533-position model. The record is from RNAcentral.
UACGGAGGGUGCAAGCGUUGCUCGGAAUUAUUGGGCGUAAAGGGUAGGUAGGUGGUCUCAUUUGUCUAGGGUGAAAGCCUUGAGCUUAACUCAAGAAGUGCCCUGGAAACGGUGAGACUGGAGUCCUGGAGAGGGUCGUGGAAUUCCCGGUGUAGCGGUGAAAUGCGUAGAGAUCGGGAGGAACACCAGAGGCGAAAGCGGCGACCUGGACAGGUACUGACACUCAACUACGAAAGCGUGGGGAGCAAACAGG